Long non-coding RNA from Gossypium raimondii (Peruvian cotton), 2698 nucleotides. RefSeq lists it as uncharacterized. The record is from RefSeq and is a predicted model, not a curated record. The transcript has 3 exons. Lineage: Eukaryota; Viridiplantae; Streptophyta; Magnoliopsida; Malvales; Malvaceae.
GAUGAGGGGGGAAGAUAUUUCAACAAAAAUAAUUAAAAUUAAAUCAACGAAAGAAAUCCCUAGAAGCCUAAAGAAAAGAGGGGAAAGAUGAGGCCGAUGCCGAUGGAACUCGUGACGGACCCAGACGACCAAGGUUCAGCCAUGGAAGUCGACGAUGUUGACACACCGGAGAUCUUCGGCGAAGGCGUCAUCACUUUCGACAACAAGCUCGCCUAUGCCGAUUUCUUCAACAACUUCGAAACUGAAUCAGUUGAAUCAGUUGAGUCGAUUCCUCCUCAACCUCCAUCUUCCUCUCAAGCUCUAGUUUCAGCUACCUUUUCACCUUCUGUACUUAGUUUGAAGUCGGUUCGCCGGUCAGCUCUGUUUGGUGCUCACUCCACCACUCUCCAACGCUCCCGAUGCUGUGAGUUUCUCUAUCCAAGGUCCAGAAAUUUAAAAAGAGCUUGCAGUACUAGUUUAGUCGAUGACUUCUCUGAUGAAGAAUUCUCAAAAAAGAUUCAAGAAUUGGCACCCAAACUCUAGUCACCGGACGACAGCGAUAAACCUAUCAGCGAAAUCAACAUGAAGGAUUUAGAUUCUGAAUCUUUGAAGCCGUCGUGGUUGGAAAGAGGAGAAGAAAUAAUCCCAUCAAACAUAGAACGUAAAGCCAACAGCGUGGAUCUUCCGCUUUCGCUUCGGAUUAUAAAGAGGAAACUACAAUGGCAAGAAGGGUUUCGUGAUGCUGGGGAGUCGACUUAUUGUUCAAUGAAGAAGGCGUUUUCUUCAAUGGUUUUUAUAAUCCGAGAGCUUUAUAGUUACAUUUUGCAGAUGCGAGAGAUUUUGUUUUAUGAAGAUUUACAAGGGGUUCUUGUUAGAGUUCAAAAAGAGAUGCAUGCUUCGUUUGUUUGGUUGGUCCAACAGGUCUUUUCUCAUACGCCCACAUUCAAAGUUCUAAACUAAUUUUUCCCCUAUAAUUUCAUUUUUAGAUUCAAAUUUUCGUUUUUUUUAUUUUUUAUUAACAGCAUUGACUUUUAAUAUUUAUUUUGAUAGUUUUUUUGGGGACGUGGGGGGGCGAGUAAGCACAUUUGCUUUUGAACAUAAGAUUGAUUCUGCCUAUGUUAUGUAUUUGCCAUAUUCCAGUUUUGGAUUCAAAGUUUGUAUGUGUUUCUUACCAUUUUCUAAGAAAUAAAAAAUAUGUUAUUAAUAUUGUCUUUGUUAAGUCUUUUUCACAUAAUUUUCUUUGAAGUUUGAACAUUGUUUUGCUCCUUUUCAUUAUGGAAAAACAAAUCUUUUUCCAAUUUAGUCUUUGUUUUAAUUAUUUUAUAUAAUUAAAUUACUCAAAGUUUGUUUCCUUUUUGAUCCAAACUUUUCUUUUGUACAAAAUUACUCUUUUCUUAACUUUUUAUAUUAUAUAUAUAUGUUUUAUAAGAUUUGCUUUAGCUCUCAGUUUUCACUUUCACAAUGAGUUAUUUGAGCAUUUUUCAUAUUUCUUUCUAAUGUGGGACAGAUUUCAUUUUCUUAGAAAGAAAAAAUUAUAUUGUUUUUGUUGCCUCAAUCCUCUUUAUUUGUCUCUUUAACCUCAUUGGAUAUGGAGUCUAUGUUGCCUUUUCUUUUCAGUUUUUCCAUUUUAGAUUUAUAGUUAAACUUCAAAGUGGUUCUGCUUCAAGUUAACAGUGGGGUUUUUUACAUUGAUCAUCUUAAGUUUUCAGAAAAUAUUUUUCCUGUUGAUUUGGAUUUUUUAAGGUUAUUUUUGUUUUUCCUUCCUAAAAUGCUUUUUUUUUGGAUGAUUUAAUGAAUAUGGCAGGAUUAAGCUUUAGAAAUCCAUGAUUAACUGAAGACUUUAUAUUGGGUCCUCAGUUCAAUUGUUUAAAAUCUAUAUAUAUUUUUUAUAAUAUGCUAUGUUAUUCAGACUUGGGUAUGUCCUUGGAUGAUCAUAUCCCGGUACCUUUGUUUUGCAUAUGUGCUGGACACGGGUGCUUUAAAUAAAAUGAAGAGUGCUUGCUGUCAACUAGGAGUUUUGAUGAUUAUGAUCAUGAUUGUUUCAUAUAUAUAUAUAUUUCACCUAUAGUAACAUUAAUUUUGUAAAGAUAUUUUCUUCAAUUCUUAAAUUGCUUUAAUAUCUCUUAUUAUCUUAAAAGUUCUGUUUAUCUUGGUAAACUUAAUUUUGCAACUGCUACUGGAUUUUUUGAGCUUCUCUGCUUCUAGCUUUUCAUCUAUGGUCAGAUACUCAGUUGUGACUGAUAAGGUCUCAAUGGAGGUUGUUGAAGAAUUCAUUCUAGAACAGUUGAAUUUGACAAAAGUCACAAUAUCUGAAAUUAAGCACAUUCAUUUGACAGGAUAAUUUGGAAACCCUAUUGCAAGAGGACAUUCAGGCUGAUCUAGUCUGUUGCAGCAUUUGCAGUUAAGAUUUGAAACUGAAGACAAAGCAAGGAGACUUCUAAGUAAUGUGUCCUUUUUGUUGAAACCAGGGGGUUAUUUUUUCGGUAUUACUCCUGAAAAACUGAUUGCCAAAAACUGUUGUUUCUGGAUUUGUGUAUUUUCCUUCUUUUUUUUUCUUGUGGUUAUUGCUGCACCUGUUUCUGGGAAGUGAUUGUGUAAACAUUUUAGUGUGCUUUAGUUAUUGUAAGAAUAUUUUUAACAUUGUUAAUUUUAAUAUUAUUGUAAGAAUAUUUUGAAUUAUAAUUCAGUUAUCAAUUUAUAUCAUAUAUCUUUCAUUGAA